CCUACGGGAGUCAGCAGUGGGGAAUAUUGCACAAUGGGGGAAACCCUGAUGCAGCGACGCCGCGUGAGUGAAGCAGUAUUUCGGUAUGUACAGCUCUAUCAGCAGGAACGAGACAAGACGGUACCUGCCUAAGAAGCACCUGCUAACUACGUGCCAGCAGCCGCGUUAAUACGUAGGGGGCAAGCGUUAUCCGGACGCACUGGGUUUCAAGGGAGCGUAGACGGCUGAGCAAGUCUGAAGUGAAAGGCGGGGGCCCAACCCCUGUACUGCUUUGGGCACUGUACGGCUGGAGUGCAGGAGAGGUAAGGGGAAUUCCUAGUGUAGCGGUGAAAUGCGUAGAUAUUAGGAGGAACACCAGUGGCGAAGGCGGCGUACUGGACUGUAACGGACGUUGAGGCUCGAAAGCGUGGGGAGCAAACAGGAUUAGAUACCCGGGUAGUC
RNAcentral lists this ribosomal RNA (441 nucleotides) under uncultured bacterium. Its description in RNAcentral is "partial 16S ribosomal RNA". It matches the Rfam family "Bacterial small subunit ribosomal RNA", at positions 338 to 795 of the family's 1533-position model. The record is from RNAcentral.